Phascolarctos cinereus (koala) is the source of this 1793-nucleotide long non-coding RNA. Lineage: Eukaryota; Metazoa; Chordata; Mammalia; Diprotodontia; Phascolarctidae. The record is from Ensembl.
GGAGGGUGGAGUCCUCCAGAGGAGGCUUCGCCUUCUCCCCUCCCUGCAGCCCUUAGCCAGGGCCCCACCCGGGCAGCUCGUCAGCUGGGCUACCGGAGAAGGGGGGAGGGGAGCGGCGAGGGGAGGGGGAGCGGUCCUGACACAUGGGGUGCCUGCAUACCUCUCAGCUGUUGUUCAUUAGAGCCGGCUUAAUUUAACCCUCGUGCUGGCCCCCUUUGGCUCCUGUGGUAGGAUAGAGAGCCCAGCCCCUUAUUGGGCCAAGACCCUCCCUGUUCGCAGCCCGGCCCAGCCCAGGGCAGGGCAGACCGACGGCGGAAGGAUGGACAGUCGGAAGGAGGGCCGAAGCUUGCCCAGGGUGCUUUUGGGGGGACUUGCUGGCCAGAUUCUCCCUCCACACGGGAAGGAGGAAAAGCAGACCAUCCCCCGGGGCUUCGGGGGGAGAACAAGACCUUCCCAAAUCUCUUUCCUGGGAUCUCCCUUCAUCCUGGGCAGAUGGGGUUGUCUCAGGCCCAAGCCCGAGAUCCUUCCACCUUUCCAAGCAUCGCUCCCCUCUGGAGCUCACGUAUGUGUAAGCCUGGCAUGGAAGGGGUGGGCGGAGGCCUGGGAUUUCCCUUCUAAUGAUGGGGCCAAUCUUGGUCCUCCCACCUCACUCAGGACACAGACUUUGAGGAUUCAGCUGUGGCCUUCCGGUGUAAGCUUGACUGAGAGGACCGCUGUUGGGGAGCGGCACCCCAGGGCACGCAUGGCCAGUUUAUCCGACUGGCAGUGCUCUUCAGGCAGGGAGGGAGGGUGAGAUGGGAGUCAGAAUCAUCUUGGAUUUGAAGACAGAUAAGGCUUGAGUUCAAAUCUAGACUUUGACACUAGCUGGGUGGCCCUGGGUAAGCCUCUCCCUCUCUCAGGUCUCAGUUUCCUCUUCUGUAAAGUGGGGCAAAUAAUGAUUGUGUGAGCAGCCUCGCUGGCUUGUCCCCAAAGCCCCCGGAGUUAAUGAAUAGGAGGGCCCAUGAUGCUCUGUGCUCUAGUAAUAGGCGACAUUCCCGGGGAUCGGAGCAGAGUGACGUUGCAGCCUGAGCCCUCCCCCCUCUCCCCACACCUAGCAGAACGAACCCUGAUUCAGAGACUCAGACCUAGAGCCACUAGUGAAAUCCCUUCCUUUUCCAGGUAAGAGGAGUGAAGCUCAGCCAGGUGAAGUCCCUCCCGCCCAGGGCUCCGUCUCCUAGGUGUGCAGUAGCAAAGGCAGGGGCUGAAUGAGCCCAGUCCAGCCCGCCGGCCUCCUCCAGCACCGGGCAGCCUCCCUGGGAGGCUAGCUCCCAUUUCCUCAUAACACGCCCGAGAGGGGCGGGGGCGGUACAGGUAGCGUCCUCCGGACUGGGCGGAGGAGGGAACUGAGGUUUAGGGAGGGGCCGCCUCGGCAGGAAUCGCCAAGCUAGGAAGUGUCCAAGGUAGGAGCGGCAGUUUCCAGGUGUAGCAGUCGGCCCAGCAGGCCCGAUCUAGGCUCACGGGCUGCCUUGGGUCCGAGCGAUGCCCCCUUUCCUCCGCAGCCUAGCUCAGGCCUGCGCCCGGGCUCCCUCCAUGGGACCCGCGACUUCCCGCCUCCUCGGAGCCCUAGACCAGGAGAAGGAGGGGAAGGAGGAGUAGGAGGAGGACUAGGACAAGGAGGAGGACGAGGAGGAGGAGGAGGGACCCUCAGGGUUGCGCGGCCGCCCCCACCGGGUCGGACCCUUGUGGCUUGAGCCCCGCCACCGCCGCCGGUGGGCUAUCCGUGUGGAUAGCCAUUUCGGGAAAAUGGCUUGGGU